CCGCAUCUGUGCAUGCAGCAUAUCAAUAAGCGGAGGAAAAGAAACUAACAAGGAUUCCCCUAGUAACGGCGAGUGAAGCGGGAAGAGCUCAAAUUUGAAAUCUUAAAGGGUUUCCCUUUACGAAUUGUAGUUUAAAGAAGUGUUUUCUGUUGAGGUUUUGGUAAAAGUUCCUUGGAAUAGGACAUCAUAGAGGGUGAGAAUCCCGUAUUUGACCUUUACUUUCAACUUUGUGAUACACUUUCAAAGAGUCGGAUUGUUUGGGAAUGCAGUCCAAAAUGGGUGGUAAAUUUCAUCUAAAGCUAAAUAUUGGCGAGAGACCGAUAGCGAACAAGUACCGUGAGGGAAAGAUGAAAAGAACUUUGAAAAGAGAGUUAAACAGUACGUGAAAUUGUCAAAAGGGAAGCGUUUGACACCAGUGUUGUUUUUCUGAAAAUCAAUUAAAGAACUGUUUAUGCUAAGUUGUUUAGACUUUAUCAGCUAUCUGUUUAGUUUUGAGCUUUUCUUUAAUGCACUUUUCAGUUAACAAGUCAACAUCAAUUUCUUUUGCUGUAAAAAAGCUUGAGGAAGGUGGCUUGAGAUUCGUCUUAAGUGUUUAUAGCCUCUUGCCUAUGCAGUCGGAGAGAUUGAGGUCUGCAGCGUAGAUCCUUCGGGGCUAAAUGCAUUUGUGCUAAGUUAUAACAUUUCAUAGACAACUUGUUGACUAUGAUUUGUCUUGUAGCUUACUCGCUUAUGUUAUUUUACCUACGCUUAGGAUGUUGACAGCAGUAUAGACUGU
Molecule: ribosomal RNA, 775 nt
Filed under: uncultured Neocallimastigales
Lineage: Eukaryota; Fungi; Neocallimastigomycota; Neocallimastigomycetes; Neocallimastigales
Description: partial large subunit ribosomal RNA
Rfam family: Eukaryotic large subunit ribosomal RNA
Source: RNAcentral